This 483-nucleotide ribosomal RNA is filed under the name Triticum aestivum (bread wheat). RNAcentral's name for it is "partial small subunit ribosomal RNA". The record is from RNAcentral. Lineage: Eukaryota; Viridiplantae; Streptophyta; Magnoliopsida; Poales; Poaceae.
AUGGCAGCACCUAGGGCAUCUUGGGACCAUGCAUAUGAGAAAGGUCUUGUUGAUAUAAUGCUUGACCACAACAAUCCCAUCUAUCAAGGUCAAAAUGGGUGGACUACUGAAGGGUGGACUAGCAUUACAAAUACAUUCAAUCAAAAAUUUCCACUAGCUCGUUUCACCAAGCAACAAAUCCAAGAGAAGCAUAAGGAUUUAAAAGGAAAUUAUAAGGCAGUGAGAGACUCUCGGAAACAGAGUGGCACGAGAUGGGAUGGUACACUUUGCAUGAUCAUCGCUGAACCUGUAAUAUGGGAUAAACUUAUCAAGGAUAAUGCAAGGAUAAAGAAGUUACAUUCAAAACCAUUCAUGAUGUUCAAGUCAUUGGCUUCACCACAUGAAGGAAGUGUUGCUUCAGGAGACUUGAACUUUGCAUCGAUUCCGCAAGUGGAUCUCACAAGCGAUGCCAUUUCUCCUAUGGAUUCCUCUACAAUGAUUUGA